Molecule: ribosomal RNA, 373 nt
Filed under: uncultured organism
Description: bacterial SSU rRNA
Rfam family: Bacterial small subunit ribosomal RNA
Source: RNAcentral
CAGAGGGGGCAAGCGUUGUUCGGAAUUACUGGGCGUAAAGGGCGCGUAGGCGGCCUGCUAAGUCGAACGUGAAAUCCCUGGGCUCAACCCAGGAACUGCGUCCGAUACUGGUUGGCUUGAAUCCGGGAGAGGGAUGUGGAAUUCCAGGUGUAGCGGUGAAAUGCGUAGAUAUCUGGAGGAACACCGGUGGCGAAGGCGACAUCCUGGACCGGCAUUGACGCUGAGGCGCGAAAGCCAGGGGAGCAAACGGGAUUAGAUACCCCGGUAGUCCUGGCCCUAAACGAUGAAUGCUUGGUGUGGCGGGUAUCGAUCCCUGCCGUGCCGAAGCUAACGCAUUAAGCAUUCCGCCUGGGGGAGUACGGUCGCAAGGCUG